AUACGAAGGGGGCUAGCGUUGUUCGGAAUCACUGGGCGUAAAGCGCGCGUAGGUGGAUCAAUUAGUUGAGGGUGAAAUCCCGGGGCUCAACCUCGGAACUGCCUUCAAUACUGUUGAUCUUGAGACCGAGAGAGGUGAGUGGAAUUCCUAGUGUAGAGGUGAAAUUCGUAGAUAUUAGGAAGAACACCAGUGGCGAAGGCGGCUCACUGGCUCGGUACUGACGCUGAGGUGCGAAAGCGUGGGGAGCAAACAGGAUUAGAAACCCUGGUAGUCC
RNAcentral lists this ribosomal RNA (274 nucleotides) under uncultured bacterium. RNAcentral's name for it is "partial 16S ribosomal RNA". It matches the Rfam family "Bacterial small subunit ribosomal RNA", at positions 523 to 796 of the family's 1533-position model. The record is from RNAcentral.